RNAcentral lists this non-coding RNA (28 nucleotides) under Xenopus tropicalis (tropical clawed frog). RNAcentral also lists the same sequence under 3 other names. The record is from RNAcentral. Lineage: Eukaryota; Metazoa; Chordata; Amphibia; Anura; Pipidae.
AACUAGCCCUGAAAAUGGAUGGCGCUGG